CCGGUCAAACAAGCAACUGAGCGCGCUCUGAGCAAGAAACGUAUAGGCCGUGUGCUUCCAUCUUCUUUUUUAGAAAAGGCGGGAGGGGGGGGGGCGAGCAACGACAGAGGCGCCCCUCGCGCCAUUUUCUGCCGAUCGCCCAAACAAAACAACGAGUGUGUAGUACACGUAUAAUAAACACAAUAAAGGGAGGAGCUCACACACAACAGUGACCUGCGUUAAACUUUAACCACAUUUUCCUCCGCCCCUUGUUCAUUCCACAUUUUUAUGAAAAAUGGAUGUUGACUGUCUGCUAGAACGUGACAGACGCGCGCCAUAGACGAUCGUGUUUUGUUUUUCCGAGUCAGUACCGACAAGAAUCGAAUAAUGCAACAAUAGCAACACGUUUUUUGUUUCUUAACACACACACACUCACACACACCAGCAGGAGGGAAGUCGAAGAAUAAAAAAAGAGCAGCUUUUGAUCCCAAUCAUCCAUCACGCACCCAAUUACUAGCAAACCGGGAAAGUGGAGAAUAAAAGAAAACAACAAAAGCGAUUACAACAGUCAGAGAAACAACAACAACACUAAAGGAGGGAUUUAGUUGCAUUCGAACAAAACAAGUUUUCCACUUUUUUUUUUUUCAUAUUUCUUUUUAUAAAUAUGUUGAGAAUGAAAGAAAAAGAAAAGACCCCGAUGGCGACAAGUUCAAUUUGUGUGCUCCCACAGAGAUAAUACACAUUACUAGCUUUU
Molecule: long non-coding RNA, 733 nt
Organism: Daphnia magna
Lineage: Eukaryota; Metazoa; Arthropoda; Branchiopoda; Diplostraca; Daphniidae
Exons: 2
Source: RefSeq, a predicted model, not a curated record